Molecule: ribosomal RNA, 448 nt
Filed under: uncultured bacterium
Lineage: Bacteria
Description: partial 16S ribosomal RNA
Rfam family: Bacterial small subunit ribosomal RNA
Source: RNAcentral
UCCAGACUCCUACGGGAGGCAGCAGUGGGGAAUAUUGCACAAUGGGGGAAACCCUGAUGCAGCGACGCCGCGUGAGCGAUGAAGUAUUUCGGUAUGUAAAGCUCUAUCAGCAGGGAAGAAAAUGACGGUACCUGACUAAGAAGCCCCGGCUAACUACGUGCCAGCAGCCGCGGUAAUACGUAGGGGGCAAGCGUUAUCCGGAUUUACUGGGUGGAAAGGGAGCGUAGACGGCAAUGCAAGCCAGAUGUGAAAGCCCGGGGCUCAACCCCGGGACUGCAUUUGGAACUGUGUAGCUGGAGUGCCGGAGAGGUAGGCGGAAUUCCUAGUGUAGCGGUGAAAUGCGUAGAUAUUAGGAGGAACACCAGUGGCGAAGGCGGCCUACUGGACGGUGACUGACGCUGAGGCUCGAGAGCGUGGGGAGCAAACAGGAUUAGAUACCCCCGUAACU